Molecule: non-coding RNA, 1288 nt
Organism: Equus caballus (horse)
Lineage: Eukaryota; Metazoa; Chordata; Mammalia; Perissodactyla; Equidae
Source: RefSeq, a predicted model, not a curated record
UGGAAACUCUAAAAGUGAAGGAAAGACUGGAGACGAGGUGCAGCCCCUGAGAAUCUGUGGUUCUCCCGUGUAUUCCUUCACUAUUGAGGACCUGUUUUAUUCUGCCUUAUGACUGGUCACUGCCAAGGUACAACUGACUGCAUAAGGACUUCUGAACAAGCACCAACAUCCACUACUGUUCAAUACCAGCCACAGAAAUUGCUUCCAGUCGUGAAGCACUAAACCUUUUGGUUGAGAGAUCUGAUCCUCCAGUGGACGUGGAUGAGGAUGAUGGAAACAGCCCCUGAAGUAUUGCCAUGAAGGAGUGAUGGUGGAGCAAAGGGACAAGGAAGUGAUUAACAGCAGGACACUGAUGACAGCAAUAGAGCUUGCAUUUCUGGUCCAAUUCAAUAACGCAAUGCCAACACUGUGUAAAACAAGAGAAAAGCCAUUGGCACCAUGAAACCACACAAAAUAAAUUCUACUCUAUGUCUUAGAGAUUUAGAAAUCAGGCAUAAGUGUUUUUUUUUUAAAGUUGCAGAUGUUGUAAUUGUUUAAGACAAUAGUUACAUGACUUGUAGAAUUAUUUUUACAUUGACUAGGCUCUGGAACUUAUGAUAGAAAAGAUUUUUCUCAGAACUAUACUCACUAAUAUUCUUGGAUUCAUGAGUGAUAUUAAAAAAAAAGCUCAUUUUUUCCCCUUAUACUUUCAGUGGAACUGCAAGAUUAGAUGAUUUAUUUUUAUCUAACUGAACCCCUAAAGCAGAAAUCAGACAUAGUACUUUUGUUUGCUCAAAGCGUUAGGACUGUCUGGGAUAACAGAGGAUGCAGAAGUUUAAAUGACAACUCCAAACCUCAUCAUCAUUUCUCUUGGCUCCUAUGCAGCCAUUUGUUAGUUCUAAUACAUGUGUGUGUGUGUGUGUGUGUGUCAGAGAGAGAGAGAUUCCAGCUUCUUGGGCCAGGAUGUUGAGUAAUAAGUGAGAUAAAGUGGUAUGUGUGAUAUGAUGAGACCAGCACAAUCUGGUGGGUUUCACAGUAUGUACUGAGUUCAAACUGAUAACAUAUAUGUAUGUGUGUGCAUGAAUUAUAACAUACAUUUUGAGAGAGAAAGAAAAACUCAAAAGGAGCCAAGAAAAAUUCUUCACAAGAUUGUUUCCAAUAAUAACAAUAGAAAAAUAACAAUGUCAUUAGGUAUUUAAUACUCAGUUUUAUAACUUUUUUAAGCUAAUAAAUAACAUAAAAUAUAGGCAAUUAUAUUUAUUAUAUUUACUUAAAUAUUCUCUACAUUUUUCUGAUGUGGUUACGAGAU